Long non-coding RNA from Macadamia integrifolia, 453 nucleotides. RefSeq lists it as uncharacterized. The record is from RefSeq and is a predicted model, not a curated record. Lineage: Eukaryota; Viridiplantae; Streptophyta; Magnoliopsida; Proteales; Proteaceae. The transcript is spliced from 2 exons.
CAGGGCUAGUCAUUCAUGGGAAAUUGGUCAUUUGGUGAUAAAGGGUGUCUCUGAUUAUGUUCAUUAGGCUAUGAAAACACAAAGAUUGUGUUCAUUUGAUCUUUUGUUAUGAGUACCUUCUGAACAGAGGGUUCAGUGAUGGACCUGAUGGUUAGUUAAUGGGAAUAAGAAAGAGGGUCUCUGGGUGAUUUGAAAUUUAACUAAUAACCAUUCUUGAAGUUUACUAAAAUCCCAUUAUUUGCUAGCAGGCCAUCCAAGUAUUAUAUACCAUUUUACAGAAGCUGUUGAUGGGUGAUUCCUAGAAGUGAAAUUGUCUUUUGGUAGUGAGCAAGAAAUUCACUGUUGUUCCUGUCCAUUUUGUCAAGAGUGAGGAAGGAGUUGGGAAUUUUGCUUUAGUAAUUUACACAAACACUUAAUAGUCAAUUCAAAGAAACAAAAUAUCUCAGUUGACUA